GAUGAACGCUGGCGGCGUGCCUAAUACAUGCAAGUCGAGCGAACAGAUGAGGAGCUUGCUCCUCUGACGUUAGCGGCGGACGGGCGAGUAACACGUGGAUAACCUACCUAUAAGACUGGGAUAACUUCGGGAAACCGGAGCUAAUACCGGAUAAUAUAUUGAACGGCAUGGUUCAAUAGUGAAUGAGGGCUUUCCCGUCACUAAUAGAUGGAUCCGCGCUGCAUUAGCUAGUUGGUAAGGUAACGGCCCACCAAGGCAACGAUGCGUAGCCGACCUGAGAGGGUGAACAGCCAACCUGGGACUGAGACACGGUCCAGACUCCCACGGGAGGCAGCAGUAGGGAAUCUUCCGCAAUGGGCGAAAGCCUGACGGAGCCACGCCGCGUGAGUUAAGAAGGGCUUCCGAUCGUAAAACUCUGUUAUUAGGGAAGAACAAAUGUGUAAGUAACUAUGCACGUCUUUACGGUACCUAAACAGAAAGCCACGGCUAACUACGUU
Molecule: ribosomal RNA, 497 nt
Filed under: uncultured bacterium
Lineage: Bacteria
Description: partial 16S ribosomal RNA
Rfam family: Bacterial small subunit ribosomal RNA
Source: RNAcentral